This 497-nucleotide ribosomal RNA is filed under the name uncultured bacterium. RNAcentral's name for it is "partial 16S ribosomal RNA". It matches the Rfam family "Bacterial small subunit ribosomal RNA", at positions 28 to 507 of the family's 1533-position model. The record is from RNAcentral.
GAUGAACGCUGGCGGCGUGCCUAAUACAUGCAAGUCGAGCGAACAGACGAGGAGCUUGCUCCUCUGACGUUAGCGGCGGACGGGUGAGUAACACGUGGAUAACCUACCUAUCAGACUGGGAUAACUUCGGGAAACCGGAUCUAAUACCGUAUAAUAUAUUGCACCGCAUGGUUCAAUAGUGAAAGACGGUUUUGCUGUCACUUAUAGAUGGAUCCGCGCCGCAUUAGCUAGUUGGUAAGGUAACGGCUUACCAAGGCGACGAUGCGUAGCCGAGCUGAGAGGGUGAUCGGCCACACUGGAACUGAGACACGGUCCAGACUCCUACGGGAGGCAGCAGUAGGGAAUCUUCCGCAAUGGGCGAAAGCUUGACGGAGCAACGCCGCGUGAGUGAUGAAGGUCUUCGGAUCGUAAAACUCUGUUAUUAGGGAAGAACAAAUGUGUAAGUAACUAUGCACGUCUUGACGGUACCUAAUCAGAAAGCCACGGCUAACUACGUG